GUAACACGUAGUCAACCUGCCCUGGAGACAUGGAAAACCCCGGGAAACUGGGAUUAAUCCGUGAUAGGUCACCUCAUCUGGAAGGAGAGAUGGCUUAAAGGGGUGCGAGAGCUUCUUUCUUGCAUUCGCUCCAGGAUGGGACUGCGGCCGAUCAGGCUGUUGGCGGUGUAAUGGACCACCAAACCUGUAACCGGUACGGGCCUUGAGAGAGGGGGCCCGGAGAUGGACACUGAGAGAAGGGUCCAGGUCCUACGGGGCGCAGCAGGCGCGAAACCUUCGCAAUGCGCGAAAGCGUGACGAGGUUAAUCCGAGUGGUCCCCGCUGAGGGGAUCUUUUGUUGGCUGUAAAAAGGCCGAUGAAUAAGGGGAGGGCAAGUCUGGUGUCAGCCGCCGCGGUAAUACCAGCUCCUCGAGUGGUCGGGGCGAUUAUUGGGCCUAAAGCAUCCGUAGCCGGUUCUGUAGGUCCUCUGUCAAAUCCAACGGCUUAACCGUUGGCCCGCAGAGGAUACCGCAGGACU
RNAcentral lists this ribosomal RNA (517 nucleotides) under uncultured archaeon. RNAcentral's name for it is "bacterial SSU rRNA". It matches the Rfam family "Archaeal small subunit ribosomal RNA", at positions 93 to 593 of the family's 1478-position model. The record is from RNAcentral.